GAUGAACGCUGGCGGCGUGCCUAAUACAUGCAAGUCGAGCGAACGGACGAGAGGCUUGCUUCUCUGAUGUUAGCGGCGGACGGGUGAGUAACACGUGGAUAACCUACCUAUAAGACUGGGAUAACUUCGGGAAACCGGAGCUAAUACCGGAUAAUAUUUUGAACCGCAUGGUUCAAAAGUGAAAGACGGUCUUGCUGUCACUUAUAGAUGGAUCCGCGCUGCAUUAGCUAGUUGGUAAGGUAACGGCUUACCAAGGCAACGAUGCAUAGCCGACCUGAGAGGGUGAUCGGCCACACUGGAACUGAGACACGGUCCAGACUCCUACGGGAGGCAGCAGUAGGGAAUCUUCCGCAAUGGGCGAAAGCCUGACGGAGCAACGCCGCGUGAGUGAUGAAGGUCUUCGGAUCGUAAAACUCUGUUAUUAGGGAAGAACAUAUGUGUAAGUAACUGUGCACAUCUUGACGGUACCCAAUCAGAAAGCCACGGCUAACUACGUG
Molecule: ribosomal RNA, 497 nt
Filed under: uncultured bacterium
Lineage: Bacteria
Description: partial 16S ribosomal RNA
Rfam family: Bacterial small subunit ribosomal RNA
Source: RNAcentral